This 87-nucleotide transfer RNA is filed under the name Bacteroidota bacterium. Its description in RNAcentral is "Bacteroidetes bacterium (marine sediment metagenome) tRNA-Ser". It matches the Rfam family "tRNA". From Rfam's summary of the family: Transfer RNA (tRNA) molecules are approximately 80 nucleotides in length. Their secondary structure includes four short double-helical elements and three loops (D, anti-codon, and T loops). Further hydrogen bonds mediate the characteristic L-shaped molecular structure. tRNAs have two regions of fundamental functional importance: the anti-codon, which is responsible for specific mRNA codon recognition, and the 3' end, to which the tRNAs corresponding amino acid is attached (by aminoacyl-tRNA synthetases). tRNAs cope with the degeneracy of the genetic code in two manners: having more than one tRNA (with a specific anti-codon) for a particular amino acid; and 'wobble' base-pairing, i.e. permitting non-standard base-pairing at the 3rd anti-codon position. Lineage: Bacteria; Pseudomonadati; Bacteroidota. RNAcentral also lists the same sequence under 1 other name. The record is from RNAcentral.
GGAGAGGUGCAGGAGUGGCUGAACUGGCACGCCUGGAAAGCGUGUGUACGUGAAAGCGUACCGUGGGUUCGAAUCCCACCCUCUCCG